This 361-nucleotide ribosomal RNA is filed under the name uncultured bacterium. RNAcentral's name for it is "partial 16S ribosomal RNA". It matches the Rfam family "Bacterial small subunit ribosomal RNA", at positions 338 to 697 of the family's 1533-position model. The record is from RNAcentral.
CCUACGGGUGGCAGCAGUGAGGAAUAUUGGUCAAUGGCCGGAAGGCUGAACCAGCCAAGUCGCGUGAGGGACGACUGCCCUAUGGGUUGUAAACCUCUUUUAUAAGGGAAGAAUCAAUGCUAUGUGUAGCCUGAUGCCUGUACCUUAUGAAUAAGCAUCGGCAAACUCCGUGCCCGCAGCCGCGGUACUACGGGGGAUGCGAGCGUUAUCCGGAUUUCUUGGUGUUAACGGGUGCGUAGGGGGUUUUUUAAGUUAGUGGGUAAACGUCGGGGCUUCACCUUGAUUUGCCAUUAAUACUGUUAGACUCGAGUACAGACGAGGGAGGCGGAAUAAGUUAAGUAGCGGUGAAAGGCUUAGAUAU